CCGGCAGCGCAGGUCGGCGUCGCCGCCUCCGAGUCCAGCGGUCCCGAUGCCCAGCCCGCCCGUCAGUUCUCCUGACGGUUCUCCCCACUCGCGUCUCGACACCACCUGCUCGGCACACGGCGGAGGAUGAUGGCGGAGGAGGAGGAUUUUGAAAGCCGGCAGUUUCUUUCCUUCGAUUUGAUUUGUUCGAGGCCCUGACGGCUUCCCCGGCCCCCGCGCGUGUGGCCUACGGGGAGUGGUAGUCCAGUUCUCCCGCUUGGGGCGCGGGAGAGAGCGGCCGCGAACUACCAAUCCCGUGAUGCAACGCGCCCAGAGCGCCGCCGCCGGCCCCUCUCCGCCCUCCCUUUUCAGCUUCUGGCUUUUUCUGCGGGAGACCACAGGGCGGCGUUUAGACGUAAGCGCCCCGGAAGACUACAAUUCCCUUUAUGCUUUGCGGCCUAGCAUCCGCCCUUCUGGAAAGGUGCAAACUCACUUAACAAAGCCGUAGAGCCGAAGGCACGCUGUUGGGUCAGUUCAGCAAGCGGUAAUAUUGAGACAAUUAGCAGAAGUUGAAAAGGGAGGGUGAAGAGGGGACCCGCGGCAGCGCUCUGGGCAUGUUGCAUCACGGGACUGAAAGAUAACAGUAUUGUAUCAACAUUAAAUUUAUUGAUUUUUAUUACUGU
This is a long non-coding RNA of Myotis brandtii (Brandt's bat), 662 nucleotides long. RefSeq lists it as uncharacterized. NCBI's taxonomy places the organism in Eukaryota, Metazoa, Chordata, Mammalia, Chiroptera, Vespertilionidae. The record is from RefSeq and is a predicted model, not a curated record. The transcript has 2 exons.